CUGUUCUUGAGCCUAAAAUCUGAAGACAGCUGAUGAAGUACAGUUAUCUCUUUGAAGAUUACUGAGGCCCUUGAAGAAGAGGACGGUCAAUAUAAGCCUGCAUAAAGGGGAGUAUUCAAAAGUUUUCUUUGGAAGUCAUCUGGUGAAGACUUCUCAUGGGGAGAAAAAAGUCGACUUCACUUCUACCUUCCUAAGUUCUCUAUAACAAAAGAAAUUAAUGAAAGAGGGACGCCUGGGUGCUCAGUGGUGGAGCGUCUGCCUUUAGCCUAAGGCGUGAUCCUGGAGUCCUGGGAUCAAGUUCUGCAUCGGGCUCCUGCAUGAGCCUGCUUCUCCCUCUGCGUGUGUCUCUGCCUCUCUCUCUCUCUCUCUAUCUCUCAUGAAUAAAAAAAUAAAUAAAUCUUUAAGAAAAAUAAAUUAAUGAAAGAAU
This is a long non-coding RNA of Nyctereutes procyonoides (raccoon dog), 427 nucleotides long. RefSeq lists it as uncharacterized. NCBI's taxonomy places the organism in Eukaryota, Metazoa, Chordata, Mammalia, Carnivora, Canidae. The record is from RefSeq and is a predicted model, not a curated record. The transcript has 2 exons.